GGGCUCGUAGAUCAGCGGUCUGGAGCUCGCCAUCGCGGCGAGCCACGCUAAAGAUCGAUCGCUUGGCGUGCGAUAGGCCGUGGGUUCUGACUUUUCUUUUCUCCCGAGAAAAGAAACCUCAACUAAAGUAACCCUUUUGCUGCUGCAAAAGCGUUAACGGAAAAAUAGGUUGAAGUCGCCUAAAAAUCCCACCGAGUCCA
Molecule: transfer RNA, 200 nt
Filed under: Microcaldota archaeon
Lineage: Archaea; Nanobdellati; Microcaldota
Description: tRNA-Ala
Source: RNAcentral